RNAcentral lists this ribosomal RNA (1339 nucleotides) under Bacillus safensis. RNAcentral's name for it is "bacterial SSU rRNA". It matches the Rfam family "Bacterial small subunit ribosomal RNA", at positions 56 to 1376 of the family's 1533-position model. Lineage: Bacteria; Bacillati; Bacillota; Bacilli; Caryophanales; Bacillaceae. The record is from RNAcentral.
UGCAGUCGAGCGGACAGAAGGGAGCUUGCUCCCGGAUGUUAGCGGCGGACGGGUGAGUAACACGUGGGUAACCUGCCUGUAAGACUGGGAUAACUCCGGGAAACCGGAGCUAAUACCGGAUAGUUCCUUGAACCGCAUGGUUCAAGGAUGAAAGACGGUUUCGGCUGUCACUUACAGAUGGACCCGCGGCGCAUUAGCUAGUUGGUGGGGUAAUGGCUCACCAAGGCGACGAUGCGUAGCCGACCCUGAGAGGGUGAUCGGCCACACUGGGACUGAGACACGGCCCAGACUCCUACGGGAGGCAGCAGUAGGGAAUCUUCCGCAAUGGACGAAAGUCUGACGGAGCAACGCCGCGUGAGUGAUGAAGGUUUUCGGAUCGUAAAGCUCUGUUGUUAGGGAAGAACAAGUGCGAGAGUAACUGCUCGCACCUUGACGGUACCUAACCAGAAAGCCACGGCUAACUACGUGCCAGCAGCCGCGGUAAUACGUAGGUGGCAAGCGUUGUCCGGAAUUAUUGGGCGUAAAGGGCUCGCAGGCGGUUUCUUAAGUCUGAUGUGAAAGCCCCCGGCUCAACCGGGGAGGGUCAUUGGAAACUGGGAAACUUGAGUGCAGAAGAGGAGAGUGGAAUUCCACGUGUAGCGGUGAAAUGCGUAGAGAUGUGGAGGAACACCAGUGGCGAAGGCGACUCUCUGGUCUGUAACUGACGCUGAGGAGCGAAAGCGUGGGGAGCGAACAGGAUUAGAUACCCUGGUAGUCCACGCCGUAAACGAUGAGUGCUAAGUGUUAGGGGGUUUCCGCCCCUUAGUGCUGCAGCUAACGCAUUAAGCACUCCGCCUGGGGAGUACGGUCGCAAGACUGAAACUCAAAGGAAUUGACGGGGGCCCGCACAAGCGGUGGAGCAUGUGGGUUUAAUUCGAAGCAACGCGAAGAACCUUACCAGGUCUUGACAUCCUCUGACAACCCUAGAGAUAGGGCUUUCCCUUCGGGGACAGAGUGACAGGUGGUGCAUGGGUUGUCGUCAGCUCGUGUCGUGAGAUGUUGGGGUUAAGUCCCGCAACGAGCGCAACCCUUGAUCUUAGUUGCCAGCAUUCAGUUGGGCACUCUAAGGUGACUGCCGGUGACAAACCGGAGGAAGGUGGGGAUGACGUCAAAUCAUCAUGCCCCUUAUGACCUGGGCUACACACGUGCUACAAUGGACAGAACAAAGGGCUGCGAGACCGCAAGGUUUAGCCAAUCCCAUAAAUCUGUUCUCAGUUCGGAUCGCAGUCUGCAACUCGACUGCGUGAAGCUGGAAUCGCUAGUAAUCGCGGAUCAGCAUGCCGCGGUGAAUACGUUCCCG